Molecule: unclassified non-coding RNA, 595 nt
Filed under: Hevea brasiliensis (rubber tree)
Lineage: Eukaryota; Viridiplantae; Streptophyta; Magnoliopsida; Malpighiales; Euphorbiaceae
Source: RNAcentral
UUUUCUCUUUAAAACCUCCAAAUACCUUAAAAAACUUUCCCUUCCUUUCAAACAUUAAAAAAUUAUAAAGGUUUAAAACCAUGAAAAACAUUACUUUAAAAAAUUUUAUUAGACAAAACCUCAUUUUACUCUCUCCUCUCAAACAAAGUAUUAAUUUUUUUAUACACUGCUAACGUGGGACAUGUUCCCAUAAACCAGAUUUCAACACCCCCCUCAAGUGCAACUAGGUUCGGCUUGGACAUCAUAGGCCUAGUUGUCACUUAGCAUUGCAUGGGUUAGCCCAUCUAACUUGGGAUUGGCUCCUUGACUUUGCCUUCAUGGUCUAACUUACUGGGCUAGCUCAUGGAUUCACCUGAAUUUAGCUUGAUUAGCUCAACUUACGAGUCUAGCUCACUAGGGCUCAACUCACCAUGCUUUGAGGUCCUGGAUCUAUAGUUGUUAAGCCUCAUCACUUUGAUACCAUGUUAAAAUCAAGGGCCAAAAAGUGUGAAUAAACAGGCAGGUCUCGAUGCUGAAUUGGGCAUGAAACUGGAAUCUCCAUAACCAAAAUGAUCUAAGCCAUUUUUGUUUGUUUUUCCAGCACUUAUAUGUCCGU